Molecule: small RNA, 686 nt
Filed under: Pongo abelii (Sumatran orangutan)
Lineage: Eukaryota; Metazoa; Chordata; Mammalia; Primates; Hominidae
Description: retained intron
Source: RNAcentral
GAGACUAGGGAGUCUGUCCGCCAUUGUGGACCCGAGAAGCAGAGAGCGAGAGGGGGAAGAGGAGCGUGCAAGCGGAAAAGACGGGCCUCUUCCUCCGACUCCCGAGCGCGAGGCCCUCAUUUUGGGUUCUCAGCGAGCGGCGGCAGCGGCAGCGGCUGGAACAAUCACUCGGCCAAGGGCGACAGCCAACUGCUGUGAGUGCACGGGGAGAGGCCCAGGCAGCGGCGGCGGCGGCGGCGGCGGCGGCGGCUCUCGGGUUGCGGUGAAGAAUGUCAGCCACUAGCGUGGAUCAGAGACCUAAAGGGCAAGGAAAUAAAGUUUCAGUACAAAACGGUUCGAUUCAUCAAAAAGAUGCUGUAAAUGAUGAUGAUUUUGAGCCAUACUUAAGUAGCCAGACAAAUCAGGUAAGUCUUCUGACAGUUUCAGAUUUUAGGAAAUUAACCUUUUAUUGUAUUAAUUGAUUUUUCAAAUAGAUAUUUAAUGAGAUUAACCAUAACAUGGAUUCAUUCAUCUAGUGUACCUAUAUAGUAAGUGAGUAGUGAGUAGCAGUUGCAGAUUUAUGGCACAAGAGAGUUCUUCUUCAGAAAGUACAGGCACCAGAAACUAGGUUAUGAAAUACAGAAUAAAGAUUUGAAGGUGACCAUUAUUUGUAUGUAUUAUGGUUAGGUUUUUUGUGUGUGUGUAUU